RNAcentral lists this long non-coding RNA (1061 nucleotides) under Homo sapiens (human). RNAcentral's name for it is "HSALNT0293106". The record is from RNAcentral. Lineage: Eukaryota; Metazoa; Chordata; Mammalia; Primates; Hominidae.
UAAUAAAAAAAGAAAGAAAAAAGAUAGCAAGAAAAAAAAAAGAAAAGCAAGACAACGAAAAAAAAAAUAGGAGGAACUGUAUCACAAUUAUGCAAACUAAGGGGGAAAGAGAGGCACCUUAGAAUGAAGGCUCUCCUUACUGUCGUAAGCGCUAGAGGGAUUCUUUGCUAGAAAAGUCUCCGUGUCAGGGCUGGGGUGAAGAGAGCUGAGGGGCGCUUUGCCUUCCCUCACCGGUGCGUUUUACCUCUCGAGGCACCGUAAGUUUGAAGUCCUCCAAGUUGUGGUCGGCGCCAUCAUGACGCCGGCGACUGUGUUCAAUAGCUCACUGUGAUUGUUGAGAAGUCAACACAGGGACAAGGAAAUCUCAGAUGGUUGUCUACAGUUACAAGGGGGAUUUUUGGACUGAUUUGUGAUUUUUCUGGGAAUGCAACUCAAGUUAGAAGAGGCCAUUAUCUGAAAGAAGAAGAAGCACCAGCUGAUGUGUUGGUUAUUUUAGGGCGACAUUUGCAGUUGCUUGGGCAAUAUCAUGAGCCUCACCUCAUGCAGGUCUGGGUCCCAGACCCAAAGACUGCUCCUCCAUACUCAGAGAUACCAGCACUAACAGAGCAGCUCCUCUUCUUCAGUACAGAUGCUUCUCAACUUACAAUGAGGUUAUACCCUUAUAAACACAUGGUAGCAAGAAUACAGCUGUGAGAAGAUGCAUUGUGCCAAGAUGAAUUUAGUGAGUUUGGAAGAGGACCCUGAGCCUGAAAUGAGAAUUGCAACCCUGGCUGACACCUCCAUUUCAGUCUGACAUGACCUUAACAGAGGACCCAGAUAACCUGUACUACACACCUGACCUAUGAAAACUGUGAGAUCAUAAAUAUGUGUUGUUUUAGGCCACUAUUUUUGUGAUAAUUUAUUACACAGUGGUAGAAAACUAAUGGAAGGAUAAACAUAAUUUAAAAGGCAGGGCAACUAAUAUACUUCAAACCCUUGUCAAUAACUUAGCUACCUUUCAUCUAAUUUAUGUAUGUCCCACCUAUAGAUUGUUCCAAGUUACUGUCACAGUGUCUGGUUCC